UCUACUCAAGGAAUGCUGCCCAGCGCAC
RNAcentral lists this non-coding RNA (28 nucleotides) under Mus musculus (house mouse). Lineage: Eukaryota; Metazoa; Chordata; Mammalia; Rodentia; Muridae. The record is from RNAcentral.